AGGUAACGGUUCACCAAGGCAAGGAUGCAUAGCCGACCUGAGAGGGUGAUCGGCCACACUGGGACUGAGACACGGCCCAGAUUCCUACGGGAGGCAGCAGUAGGGAAUCUUCCGCAAUGGACGAAAGUCUGACGGAGCAACGCCGCGUGAGUGAUGAAGGCUUUCGGGUCGUAAAACUCUGUUGUUAGGGAAGAACAAGUACGAGAGUAACUGCUCGUACCUUGACGGUACCUAACCAGAAAGCCACGGCUAACUACGUGCCAGCAGCCGCGGUAAUACGUAGGUGGCAAGCGUUAUCCGGAAUUAUUGGGCGUAAAGCGCGCGCAGGCGGUUUCUUAAGUCUGAUGUGAAAGCCCACGGCUCAACCGUGGAGGGUCAUUGGAAACUGGGGAACUUGAGUGCAGAAGAGAAAAGCGGAAUUCCACGUGUAGCGGUGAAAUGCGUAGAGAUGUGGAGGAACACCAGUGGCGAAGGCGGCUUUUUGGUCUGUAACUGACGCUGNAGGCGCGNAAAGCNGUGGNGGAGCNAAACAGNGAUUAGAUACCCNUNGGUAGUCNCACGCCNGUAANACGAUGNAGUGCUANAGUGUUAGAGGGUUUCCGCCCNUUUNAGUGCUGCAGCUAACGCAUUAAGCACUCCGCNCUGGGGNAGUACGGUCGCAAGACUGAANACUCAAAGGAAUUGACGGGGGCCCGCACAAGCGGUGGAGCAUGUGGUUUAAUUCGAAGCAACGCGAANGAACCUUACCAGGUCUUGACAUCCUCUGACAACUCUAGAGAUAGAGCGUUCCCCUUCGGGGGACAGAGUGACAGGUGGUGCAUGGUUGUCGUCAGCUCGUGUCGUGAGAUGUUGGGUUAAGUCCCGCAACGAGCGCAACCCUUGAUCUUAGUUGCCAGCAUUUAGUUGGGCACUCUAAGGUGACUGCCGGUGACAAACCGGAGGAAGGUGGGGAUGACGUCAAAUCAUCAUGCCCCUUAUGACCUGGGCUACACACGUGCUACAAUGGAUGGUACAAAGGGCUGCAAGACCGCGAGGUCAAGCCAAUCCCAUAAAACCAUUCUCAGUUCGGAUUGUAGGCUGCAACUCGCCUACAUGAAGCUGGAAUCGUUAGUAAUCGCGGAUCAGCAUGCCGCGGUGAAUACGUUCCCG
Molecule: ribosomal RNA, 1149 nt
Filed under: Priestia aryabhattai
Lineage: Bacteria; Bacillati; Bacillota; Bacilli; Caryophanales; Bacillaceae
Description: bacterial SSU rRNA
Rfam family: Bacterial small subunit ribosomal RNA
Source: RNAcentral